Molecule: non-coding RNA, 1137 nt
Organism: Camellia sinensis
Lineage: Eukaryota; Viridiplantae; Streptophyta; Magnoliopsida; Ericales; Theaceae
Source: RefSeq, a predicted model, not a curated record
GAUCAAAGGGUACGCGUACCGGUAAGGCUGCACGCGUAUUGGGUACGCCAAAACAGAUCUCAUUUCGAAAUACUCCGAGGCUGAAGAACUUCGAAGGUGCUAGGGUUCCAUGUCUAUUCAAUUAUCUCCUUCCAGAAAUACUCCCAAGAGAGUCUGAAGAACACUUCGGAGGUGCGAUUGAAAGGUUUAAUCGAAGGUGCUGCCGAUUGAUUCUCUCAUUCGAAGGUGCGAUUGAAGAGCGUUGCAAGAAGAGCAAUUACAUGGAGGAUCAGCUAAGUGCAUUGCCAGAUGAAAUUAUCAUUGCCAUCUUGUCCCUCUUGACAAUGAAAGAAGCGGCAAGAACUGGUGUGCUUUCCCUUGAAUGGAAAAAUUUGUGGAAGUUUUCCAUGGGUAGUUUGAAUUUUGAUGCUUCCAAUACAAACGCGCGCAUGCAACAAGAAAUAGAAACAAUGUCAAUUGAAACUGAAAGGACUAAGUAUAUAAGUAGGGUAAACAAAGUCUCCAAUUUGCAUCAGGGCCAAAAUAUAGAAGAAUUUAGAGUGUGCUUUGAUUUGGAUUAGAAUUUUGCAUGUGUCGUUGAUAGAUGAAUUAACUUUGCAAAAGAAAAGAGUUUGAAAGCUUGAGUUGGACUUGAGGAUAAUUUGACGAUUCUCAGUUUGAGGAUUCUUGCCCUUUUCCGUUAAGCCAAUUUGGUGUUCUAAGCUUUAACACCUUGACUUCCCUCUGCUUGAAAUCGGUAGAUUUGACAGAAGACGUUCUUGCACAAUUCUUAUCUAAUUGUCCGUUGAUUGAAGAGUUAUCUUUGAUGCAUUCAUGAUCUUUGGUUAAUCUAAAAAUAGGUGGUCCUCUGAAGUUGAAGUAAUUGGUGCUUAGCUACUGUUUCAGUUUACGAAAUCUUGAGAUUUUGGCUACAAAUCUCAUAUCAUUUAAAUACCGUGGGCCAUACAUAAUCAACAAUCCUCUUAAGAAUGUUGCCCUGUUCUCUGAAGUAUCCAUUGGGGGUUGUUACUGCAUGGAUAUAGUUUGUUCAGCAUUUUACCGUUUCUCUGGUGUACUCUGUUAGCUAGAGACACUUGUACUGGACCUGGAUUCUCUGGUUAGUUGGCAUAACCAUUGCGUGGUAGUUUUGUUUUUUAA